Long non-coding RNA from Selaginella moellendorffii, 417 nucleotides. RefSeq lists it as uncharacterized. The transcript is spliced from 2 exons. NCBI's taxonomy places the organism in Eukaryota, Viridiplantae, Streptophyta, Lycopodiopsida, Selaginellales, Selaginellaceae. The record is from RefSeq and is a predicted model, not a curated record.
UUGCGGGGCCGAGCAAACAACAGAAAGAGAGAGACAUUACUGUAGAACCGAGCCACCCGGAGCCAGUCAAGUACUUCUUGACGAGGUGACGAUUGAAUCGAGUCGGACAUCCCCCAAGGUCUGCUGUUUGCUUUCUUAUAUAAAUCGAUAACGUCAAACAUGCUGUUUGCGAUUCUGAUGUGGAUCGGAUCUUCUCGCUGGUGCAGCAGUAUGGGAUGGAGCAAGGUGGCAGAAAAGAUUCUAGCGGUGGGUUUGUAGCUCUGGCUAGAGGAUACCCUUGAUUCUGUGACGGCAUUGCUGAGAAACCUGGGAGUUCGUUUAGCUGGAAGAUCGUCUGGCGAGUUCUUCUGCAUCUUUGGAAUGAUAUAUAAUUUGAGCAAACCUGUACAAAACAGAUAUAAUUUGUGGUUUGCAACA